RNAcentral lists this ribosomal RNA (119 nucleotides) under Pteropus alecto (black flying fox). The record is from RNAcentral. Lineage: Eukaryota; Metazoa; Chordata; Mammalia; Chiroptera; Pteropodidae. RNAcentral also lists the same sequence under 1 other name.
GUCUAUGGCCAUGCCACCCUGAAUGUUCCCAAUCUCAUCUGAUCUCAGAAGCUAAGUAGGGUUGGGCCUGGUUAGUAUUUGGAUGAGAGAUCACCUAGAAAUACCAGGUGCUGUAGGCA